RNAcentral lists this long non-coding RNA (3748 nucleotides) under Equus caballus (horse). RNAcentral's name for it is "lncRNA (ENSECAG00000046025.1)". The record is from RNAcentral. Lineage: Eukaryota; Metazoa; Chordata; Mammalia; Perissodactyla; Equidae.
UACAUAUUCCCUUUAAUAAGUUUUUCUUCCAGAUUCUUAGUGUGGCAGGUGGAGUCAGUCUAGUUGAUUAUCAAGCUGAUUGGGCUUUGCUGUGCUCAUUGCCUUAAGUGCACGGAGACUUUAAAUUCCUUCAGUGGUGGGCCCCACAACCUAGUCCCUUGUGUGGACCCUGAAGUGCUGGAGGGUUUUCUCAGUGUGACAGCUCCAACCGAAGCUUUCAGCAAGUCCUGUGUGACAUCAUCAAGAGUUCUCUCUCUAUGCUCUUGUCUCUCUCCCAGUGAUAAAUUAUUUCUCUUUACUUCAUGCAAGACUUGUGGUGGGCAGGGGAGUUCUCUGUUCUGUUCCAGUCUCAGUCUUAGGCAGGCAUGAUGUACCUGCAACUUGGGGAUGGGGCUUUGCUCACAUUCUUGCCUCUCCACUGUGACAUCCAAACUCUACCUCGUAUCUGUGGAAGGAAAGGGGGUUCUUGGGUAGGACGGAUUUUCCUGUCUCUCCCUCCAGAAGUAAAGAGUUUUUGCUUCUAUUUCUUCCUCAACAACGCUAUACUAUUGCCUGAGACUGGGCAGGAAUGUUACUGCCCUUCUCCUAGUUCUGGACAGGAGUUGCCCCUACCUCAGGGGAAGACGUCUUGUGCUUCUACCCCCUCACUCAGCAGAAGUUUACCUUUGCUUAUGAGUGUGGGCAGGAGGGAUUUCUGUCGAUCCUUCAGUAGCUGAUGGCUUUUGUUUCUCUCACUGAGGCAGUGAAUCUUUGAGGCUUCAGGAUAGAAAGGUUUCCUGCCCCUCCCUUUGCUUAGAAGAUUUGCUUUGUAUCCAAGAAAGUUCCAAGAUAGCGGGCGUGGUUUCAUGCUCAGUGCCACUGAAGGGGGCUCUCUCAUCUCUCUUGCCCUGGGCCAAAUCUCUCUCAUGAACACCAGUGGAAGUCCGUGACAAAGAAGGUGCACGUGAGAGUGGACUCCCUGCAGGUCUGGGGCUUCCAGGUGUUGUAAGUUGUCAUGUUAGCCCUUAAUUGACUUUUAGGAACUUACUAAAAUUUUGGCUGUCUUCUUCCUACCACCUAUUAUGGCGGCUGACUUUUCCUUCCAUAUUUUGCCCAAGGAGAAACUUCUUUUGGUCCAUCUCUCCUUAGUGGUUCUGUCACUCUUUAGAAUUCAGUUCAUUUGGUUGCUAUGUAAUCUCUGAUAAGCUCAACUUUUAUAAGUUAUCUAGCUUUUUCCCCUACUCAUUGUUAUGGGGGGAGCAACAUAGAUUCGUAUAUUUCCUCAUCUUAAGCCGAGGCAGAACACAAGUUUUGGUAUCCAUUUUUAAAGCCUGUAUGUGGCAAGAUCUGUCAGACCAGUCAGUUUAUUUUUAUCUUUUGUUUCUUUUCAUUUUACAUUUAAUCUCUUCCACAUCCUGAGAAAAAGUAAAUAUUUCCUACAGUUCUUGAAGUUUUUAUUUAUCACAUUGUAUUCUUCAGUGUAACUGGAUUUCUCUUUCCUAAUGGCUAACGAUAGAUCAGUUUCCCCGAUUAUUUGGAUAAUAUGAUUUAAUAUAUUCUAAACUCCUAUAUGUAGCUUUCCCUCAUGUUUACAUUUCUAGACCUUACAGUAUGAUAAUUGUGGUCAAUUAUCUGCAAAGAUGGUUACUUAUAAUUCCUCCCAUUCUUAUACAUGGUUGUUGCUCUUCCACCCAAAGAUAGAGAAUAUUUCCCCUUCCCUUGAGUAAUCUCUGGCCUGAGAAUUGCUUUGGUUGCUAGAAGGUGAGAGAAGUUAUAUGCACUAUUUCUGGGCCUAGGGCUUGAGAGGCAGGUUUUGGCUUUUGCUUGCUUAGAAUAUCCACCUACCGUAUAAAUAAAUUUGGCUAUCCUGCAAGAGAGACCAGGUAGAGAGUAUGAUGUUCUGAAGGAUGAAAGACCACAAUAGGAGGGAGGGUGUAACAGAUGAAAGACCACGAGGCAAGAGAGGCCUCAGUAUCCCGGCUAGCCCAGCUGAGGGAUCAGGUGUGUGAAGGAAGCCAUUUUGGAUCCUCCAGCCCAGUUUGUAGCCACCUGACCAAGCAAAGCUGCCAACACAGGGAGAAGAGACAGGCUUUUCUAGCUGAGCCCUGGCAAACCAACCCACGGAAUCACAGGCAAAUUAAAUGGUGGUUAUCUGAAGCCACUAAAUUUUUGGGGUGGUUAUUAUACAGCAAUAGGUAACUGAUAUGACCUGGAUUUUCUCAGCAAAGAACCAAAGAUUUGUUGAAAGUGAGAAAAGAUGAAUUAACUCUAGGAAACAGAAGUGAACUGGAAGUAUUUGUCAGUAAUUGUGGGGAAUUUGCUAGAGGAAUUCAAUAGGAGAUAAGUCCACCCCACAGCACUAGGGAAAGCUCACAGAAGAUGGACAAUAUUCAUCUGUAAGAGACAAAUGCAAAUUUGGGGUACAGUUACAUUGAAAUAAUUGUUAAUAAAUUUUAGAACAUCUUGAAACCAAAUGCAUUUGUACUGGUUUCAAUUAGCAGAAAGCGCCAUUGAUUUUUUUUUACGUUCUCUGUUAUGUUGUUGGGAAUCUCCCUUCACAAUUUGAGAUCCUGACUAACACCUUGCUUGUUCUUUAGGUAACUGAUUACAGGUGUGGGCAUUUUUUUCGGCUGAGACUCUACCUCCUGACCACUGAUGUCAGGCCUUGUUCUCACAGUAAUUGGGUCGGGUCUGUUCAGUUCUAUUCAACCUGCCAUUUUUUAAAUCAACUGACUUUUGUGUAUUUAGAGCAUCAGGCAACAUGUGAGUGGAGACAAUUAGAACUGUCUGAAUCUCCAGUUAGAAAUUCGGUAGCACUGAAGGAUGGAGAGGCAAAGACAAGAGUUUAUGAAGGCAGAUUUAGGAAUGUUAACCUGUCUUUCUCCCUGAUGUUUUUACUGUUAAAAUUAGGCAACAGCCCUUACGAGGCAAACCCCAAGCGGCAGCUGUCAGUACUGGACAUCUGGCAGCUGAGCUGUGCUUUGGCACUGAAUCAUCUUCUCCACCCCCAGCCCAGCCCAGAACUUUCUGCAGGCUGAGUAUGACAAAUGCCUGUACUCCAGGUAUCAGUCUUAUUGCAAAGCAACUCUAGAGACAUGAAGGAAAGAAUGAUGUUCUGUGGGAAGUGUUCCAGGGGGCCUCCUGAGACAUGUUCUGCAGAUAGAAGGUGGAGUGGCUGUGGUGUUUGACAUCACUCAGGAAUUAUUUCACAUUCACAAGACUGAUCAGAUCCUGUUCAUUUAUUCGACCUAAAAUGACAUGACAGGAACAGAGACUUGUAAUGGAAAAUUUUCUACCUGGGUCUUUUUAUGAUUUCAGCAAUGAUAUAAACAUCCUCAUUUUUCACAGGAGAAUAAAAACUGUUAAACAUACAUCCAGCGAGGUUUUGCAGCCUUUCAAGUCAAGGAGCAUUACAAGCAAGUUUCUGUGUUAGAGUCUAAAUCUUUUAAACCUAAAAGCUGCCACUCUGAGGUCAUUUACUUUUCAUGUUCCUGAAAGCAUGGGUGAAUCUUUAAAAGUAAUAAAAUUCAAAUAGCACCCACUGGGUACUAGGAAGCGGGCUUUCAGAGCAGGUGGAUUCAUUCCAUUUCAGUCGUGUUAAGCUUAAAGAGAAAGCAAGAGAGGGAAGCUAGACAGAGGAUGAACAAAGAAGGCAUGGCUGAUUUGAGAGAAAUGACCUUCAAGAGUCAUCUCCUUAGAUAUGGCUUCUCACGAACCCACAAAGAUAGACAUAAAAAGCAGUGAGUGCUUUUGAAAAGGAAAGCCUGAU